GCUGCUCAGUGAAGAGGCCCCGGAAUGAGCGCUGGGCACGGCGCCCGAGUCAGUGUGGAAGUAUUCCUCCCUGCCUUCUGAGAACAGC
RNAcentral lists this small nucleolar RNA (88 nucleotides) under Catagonus wagneri (Chacoan peccary). RNAcentral describes it as "Small nucleolar RNA U83B (ENSCWAG00000015427.1)". It matches the Rfam family "Small nucleolar RNA U83B". From Rfam's summary of the family: U83B belongs to the C/D family of snoRNAs. Lineage: Eukaryota; Metazoa; Chordata; Mammalia; Artiodactyla; Tayassuidae. The record is from Rfam by way of RNAcentral.